GCCGGUUUAGCACAGUGGUAGUGCAUCUGAUUUGUAAUCAGAGGGUCAUCGGUUCAAAUCCGAUAACCGGCU
Molecule: transfer RNA, 72 nt
Filed under: Verrucomicrobiales bacterium
Lineage: Bacteria; Pseudomonadati; Verrucomicrobiota; Verrucomicrobiia; Verrucomicrobiales
Description: tRNA-Thr
Rfam family: tRNA
About the family: Transfer RNA (tRNA) molecules are approximately 80 nucleotides in length. Their secondary structure includes four short double-helical elements and three loops (D, anti-codon, and T loops).
Source: RNAcentral